AUGAACACAUAUGAUAUUAGUAAAAAAUUUACUUUACCUCUUAUGGUUAAGUGUUGACCAACAUCAUCAUUGCAUUAUGUUGUAUUGGCCUCACUCACUGCCCAUGCUCAUUUACAUCAGAAUACUAACAAUGAGUUUGCAAUCUCUACAUCAGUCUACAUUCUUAUCUGAUAUAGUUUAUAACAUGAUAUACUUAACUACAAGAGGCAAAGUAAAUUUUUUAUCAGAGAGAACUGACUGAGAACUUUAUGAUGUCUAAAUUUUUGAUGCCAUCAUGCACCACACAUCUUAUCUCUAUGGAUAGUGUGGUUUGCGUGUUACUAGAUCUGAUGACUUUUAAUACUUUUUGGUAAUGAAAUAUUAUAUGGUUUAAAAUUGCU
Molecule: long non-coding RNA, 380 nt
Filed under: Androctonus crassicauda
Lineage: Eukaryota; Metazoa; Arthropoda; Arachnida; Scorpiones; Buthidae
Source: RNAcentral